AUUCCAGCUCCAGUAGCGUAUAUUAAAGCUGUUGCAGUUAAAAAGCUCGUAGUUGGAUCUUGGGCCCAGGCCUGCGGUCCGCCGUGAGGCGAGUACUGCAGUCCUGGCCUUCCUCUCGGUUUUCGCCCGGUGCCCUUAACUGAGUGCCAGGAGAGGCCGGAACGUUUACUUUGAAAAAAUUGGAGUGUUCAAAGCAGGCCUCGCGCCUGAACAGCAGAGCAUGGAAUAAUGGAAUAGGACCUCGGUUCUAUUGCGUUGGUUUUCGGAACUCGAGGUAAUGAUUAAGAGGGACUGACGGGGGCAUUCGUAUUGCGGUGUGAGAGGUGAAAUUCUUGGAUCGCCGCAAGACGACCGACUGCGAAAGCAUUUGCCAAGAAUGUUUUCAUUA
This 388-nucleotide ribosomal RNA is filed under the name Echinodermata sp. RNAcentral's name for it is "partial small subunit ribosomal RNA". It matches the Rfam family "Eukaryotic small subunit ribosomal RNA", at positions 582 to 975 of the family's 1831-position model. The record is from RNAcentral. Lineage: Eukaryota; Metazoa; Echinodermata.